RNAcentral lists this long non-coding RNA (298 nucleotides) under Ricinus communis (castor bean). Its description in RNAcentral is "long non-coding RNA (RCOM_LNC002143)". The record is from RNAcentral. Lineage: Eukaryota; Viridiplantae; Streptophyta; Magnoliopsida; Malpighiales; Euphorbiaceae.
GAUUUGUUGGGCUUAUGAUAUAAGUCCAGUCCAAGUUAGUUAAUGAAGUGGAAAAGUUCAAUUCAUCAUUUUGUCCAAAUUCAUUAAAUCAAGCACGUGGACAAUAAAGAAGUCACGUGAAGAGUUGUCAAUUAGUUUUUAACUAAUUCAUGCUCUCGUUUCUUCUGGGUAUUGCAGGACAAACAGAAAAGAAGUUAGUCACGUGAGAGAGAGUGGAAAAAUAGGGGGAACACAAAAUUGUGGGAAAAUUAGACUAGAAUUUUCUAUAAAUCAAUUAUUGUGUUAGACUAUUAUCAAG